CCAAAUCACCUCACUGUCUCUCAAGAGACAGGAUCUCACUUUGUUGCCCAGGCUGGGUCUCAAAUUCCUGGCCUCAAAAGACCCUCUUGCCUUGGCCUCCCAAAGUGCUGGGAUUACAGUCAUGAGCCAACACGCCCAGCCGGUCUCACUCUGUCACCCAGGCUGGAGUACAGUGGUGCAAUCAUAGCUUACUGCAGCCUUGACCUCCUAGGCUCAAGCGAUCCUCCUGCCUCAGCUCCUGAGCAGCUGGAACUACAGACUCAGUCUGCCUGCA
Molecule: long non-coding RNA, 274 nt
Filed under: Piliocolobus tephrosceles (Ugandan red Colobus)
Lineage: Eukaryota; Metazoa; Chordata; Mammalia; Primates; Cercopithecidae
Description: lncRNA (ENSPTEG00000006077.1)
Source: RNAcentral